This 382-nucleotide long non-coding RNA is filed under the name Phasianus colchicus (ring-necked pheasant). RNAcentral describes it as "lncRNA (ENSPCLG00000003087.1)". Lineage: Eukaryota; Metazoa; Chordata; Aves; Galliformes; Phasianidae. The record is from RNAcentral.
CCAAAGUUUCCCAGCCAGAAGAGGGAUGUGUGACACAGCAGCAUUGGCUUUUUGGUAUGAAGUAGUGAUGCGCCCACUGCUGACAAAAAGAAGUCUUUGUUUCCUGGCUCUGAUGAUGUUUCCUUAAAGAAGAUGCUGUGUGCUUGUUCUACAGCUGCCUGUGGCCAUCAGGAAUGGAUGCACAUGGAAGAAUCUGGGCAAACACACAUCUGACUGGCACUCUCAGGGACAAGUCAUCCCCCUUUUCUGGGGAGUGGAAAGAUUCUUCAGCGCAGGGAAGAGUGUGUUCCUGACCAGACGUCCAAGAGAACCUGACCUGUUUCCCAGAGGAGCAAGGUGGAGAAGGGUGUGGAAACCACACUACGUAUUUCUGUGGAAGUGA